CAUAUAUACUAAGUUUCGAAUUGAUUGGACUUAAACUUCAUCAAACACUAUCUUAACCCAAAACUUUAACCUGAACCAGGACAAACGGACGAAUGAACUAACGGACGCACAAACCUAAAACAUAAUGCCCUCUACAAUAGAAGAUGGGACAUAAUAAAAACAAAUAUUCCAAAAAUAUAGACUUUUAGUAUACAUUAUAAUCCUUUCCUUUCACAGAUACCAAUUUGACGGAAAUAUGGUAAAUAUGGCCAAAGCAUUGAUUUAAGAAGUAUUUGCAAAUAUGGAACUACGUAUGGUCGCAACUUAUAAUAAUAUAUUGAGAAAGGAAAAAACACUUUAUAAAUUACGUGCAUCCGAAGCACUUUACUGUAUUUACCUUCAUUAAGAACGCUGAAACUUAUAUAUUUUAUACCCAAGGAUGUAUCAAACACGCAGAGUAAUAUGACCAAAGGAAACCUAAAAUAGCUAAAAUCAUCUAAUGUUAACUGAGUUUGAGAGAGUAGAAGCAUGAAAGAAAUAUAUGACAGUGGGUCAGUCUAUAAUAUAUUAAAAGGAAAAAACAAUGGAUACUCAUCUUUGUCUAAAACUGAAUUUUAAAAACAAUAGCUUAGAAGGUUCGCCCUAAAAUAUAUUCAAUGGUUUCAAGUAGUGGCCAUUGAUUGCCCCUCUAAAGUAGCAAUCAUUAAAAUAUAUCUUGGCCAUGAAGUUGUCAGUUUGUUUACUAUCUCUAAGUGUGAAUGUCCCUCUUGUAUCUUUC
RNAcentral lists this long non-coding RNA (757 nucleotides) under Mytilus galloprovincialis (Mediterranean mussel). The record is from RNAcentral. Lineage: Eukaryota; Metazoa; Mollusca; Bivalvia; Mytilida; Mytilidae.